Small nucleolar RNA from Mercurialis annua (annual mercury), 125 nucleotides. Lineage: Eukaryota; Viridiplantae; Streptophyta; Magnoliopsida; Malpighiales; Euphorbiaceae. The record is from RefSeq and is a predicted model, not a curated record.
AUCCCAGAUAAGCUUUUCUUGUGUUUGUCUGAUUCAUGGGAGGCCGACAUGGAUGAUGGAAGUUUCGCUGAUAGCGCCUUUUUGUAUUUUGGGGAGGUGAUUUAAUAGUAGCUUUCCAUACAAAA